CUCUCUUCCUCUCUCCCUCUCUCUUUCCUUUCCCUCUCUCCUCUCUCUCUUCCUCUCUCCCUCUCUCUGUUUCCUUCUCUCUCCCCCCUCUCCUCUCUCUCUUCCUCUCUCCCUCUCUCUUUCCUUUUCUCUCUCCUUUCUCUCCCCGUCUCUUUCCUUUUCUCUCUCCCUCUCUCCUCCCUCUCUCCCUCUCCCCCUCUCUUUCCCCCUCUUUCCUUCUCUCUCUCCCUCCCCCUCUCCCCCUCUUUCCUUCUCUCUCUCCCCUCUCCUCUCUCCCUCCCUCUCCCUCUCCCUCUCAUUCCCUCUUUCCUUCUCUCUCUCUCCCUCUUUCCCCCUCUCUCUUUCCUUCUCUCUUUCCCCCUCUCCCCUCUCUCUCUCUCCCUCUCUCUCUUCCCCCCUCUCUUUCCUUCUCUCUCUCUCCCCCUCUCCCCUUUCUCUCAUUCCCUCUCAUUCCCUCUUUCCUUCUCUCUCUUUCCCCCUCUCUCUUUCCUUCUCUCUCUCCCCCUCUCCUCUCUCUCUCCCUCCCUCUCUCUUUCCCCCUCUCUUUCCUUCUCUCUCUCCCUUCCUCUUCCCCACUCUCCCUUCCCUUCUCUCCCUCUCUCUCUCCUCUCUCGCACACACUUUCUCUCCCUCCCCCUCUCUCUGUCUCCCUCCCUCUCUCCCCCCCUCUCUCUCAUCUUUUAAGCCUUCCCAUCAGGAGUAUCUACAAGUGGACUAAAGCGCUGUUGAAUAGCACUUAGCUGCCAGCUGCCUGCAAUUACUGCAAGUUCAAAUCUCACCAGGCUCAAGGUUGACUCAGCCUUCCAUCCUUCUGAGAUUUCUGGACCGGAGCUCCUUCAAGAGAUGCCUUCACCUUUUGGAAGUUGCCGUUGCAUAAAGAGGAGGCGGCCAACUCAUCCCGGACUGGAGGUGGAGGAAUGUGACUCAAGCAGGAUAAUAAAGAAGAUCAGCGGCAGAGAAAAAACACGAGUCGAAAGGCUGCAGCAGCGUGACAGAGGAGGGUGCAAGAGGGUGUGGGUGAGCAGAUGUAAAAAAAAAAAAGGAGCUGCUGUCCUUCAGGCUUACACGGUCUUCCUUCUUUCUUAGAGACUUAUCCCCCGUUAGUCAUAGGACACCAGCUGGAGAUGGUGGG
Non-coding RNA from Pantherophis guttatus, 1132 nucleotides. Lineage: Eukaryota; Metazoa; Chordata; Lepidosauria; Squamata; Colubridae. The record is from RefSeq and is a predicted model, not a curated record.